GAUGAACGCUGGCGGCGUGCCUAAUACAUGCAAGUCGAGCGAACGGACGAGAAGCCUGCUUCUCUGAUGUUAGCGGCGGACGGGUGAGUAACACGUGGAUAACCUACCUAUAAGACUGGGAUAACUUCGGGAAACCGGAGCUAAUACCGGAUGAUAUUUUGAACCGCAUGGUUCAAAAGUGAAAGACGGUCUUGCUGUCACUUAUAGAUGGAUCCGCGCUGCAUUAGCUAGUUGGUAAGGUAACGGCUUACCAAGGAAACGAUGCAUAGCCGACCUGAGAGGGUGAUCGGCCACACUGGAACUGAGACACGGUCCAGACUCCUACGGGAGGCAGCAGUAGGGAAUCUUCCGCAAUGGGCGAAAGCCUGACGGAGCAACGCCGCGUGAGUGAUGAAGGUCUUCGGAUCGUAAAACUCUGUUAUUAGGGAAGAACAUAUGUGUAAGUAACUGUGCACAUCUUGACGGUACCUAAUCAGAAAGCCACGGCUAACUACGUG
RNAcentral lists this ribosomal RNA (497 nucleotides) under uncultured bacterium. Its description in RNAcentral is "partial 16S ribosomal RNA". It matches the Rfam family "Bacterial small subunit ribosomal RNA", at positions 28 to 507 of the family's 1533-position model. The record is from RNAcentral.